Molecule: ribosomal RNA, 278 nt
Filed under: uncultured bacterium
Lineage: Bacteria
Description: partial 16S ribosomal RNA
Rfam family: Bacterial small subunit ribosomal RNA
Source: RNAcentral
CUGUUGUUAGUUGCCAGCGAGUCAUGUCGGGAACUCUAACAAGACUGCCAGUGUAAACUGUGAGGAAGGUGGGGAUGACGUCAAAUCAUCACGGCCCUUACGCCUUGGGCUACACACGUGCUACAAUGGCCGGUACAGAGGGCAGCCAACCCGCGAGGGGGAGCUAAUCCCAGAAAGCCGGUCGUAGUCCGGAUUGCAGUCUGCAACUCGACUGCAUGAAGCCGGAAUCGCUAGUAAUCGCGGAUCAGCAUGUCGCGGUGAAUACGUUCCCGGGUCUU